Molecule: long non-coding RNA, 536 nt
Filed under: Homo sapiens (human)
Lineage: Eukaryota; Metazoa; Chordata; Mammalia; Primates; Hominidae
Description: non-protein coding lnc-RALGAPA2-2:9
Source: RNAcentral
GGCCUGACAAUCUGUGGAAAUGUGAACUCAGGCAAAUCGAGAGGUUCAAAUCUUCGUGUUCAUUGAAGAACACCUGUGAAACUGCUCAGGCCGUCAGGGUAUGCAUAUAUCAAGAGCCACCCAGUAUCUGAAAGAUGUCACUUGACAGAGACAGUGUGUACCAUUCUGACGUUACAAAGGUGGAGUUGGUAGGUGCGUCCAGGCCAAACAGUGGGACUGGACACAGGGUCAGUGGCCCAAAAAGAGUGCUGAAUGUUUGCUGCACAUGCUUAAAAAUGCAGAGUCAUGCUGAACGUAAGGGUUUACAUGUAGAUUCUCUGGUCAUUGAGCAUAGCCAGGUGAACAAAGUACCCAAGAUGUGUGGCCAGACUCACAGAGCUCAGGGUCAGGUUAACCCAUGUGUGAGCUCUGCCUGCCACAGUGAGAUGAGCCUUAUUGAAAAGGAACAAAUUGUUCCUAAACCAGAAGAGGCUGCGCAGAAGAAAAAGAUAGCCCAGAAGAAACUGAAGAAAUGGAAACUUACGGCACAGGAAUAG